AAUCUUUCAUCGUCUACAAUCAUGCAGCUAAUACUAAUGAACUACUCCUCUUCCAGGUAGAAGCGGUGGAGCUCAGAAUCAGCCAAUCACAGCCGACUCCACCCAGCCCGCUCCUCCUGACCCCGCCUCCAUCGACAAAAACGUCCUGUUGGAGCGCCAGGCCCACCUGCCCACCACUCACAAAUUCAGCAGAGAGCCACUUGGAGCACAACCCCUUCAAGUGUCCCGCAGCCGGCUGCACCAAGUCGUUCAGGAAGGCGCGUCCGCUGCACUACCACAUCAAGUACUACCACUCCGACCAGCAGCUGGACGAACAGCUGGACGAG
Cottoperca gobio is the source of this 326-nucleotide long non-coding RNA. RefSeq lists it as uncharacterized. NCBI's taxonomy places the organism in Eukaryota, Metazoa, Chordata, Actinopteri, Perciformes, Bovichtidae. The record is from RefSeq and is a predicted model, not a curated record. The transcript has 3 exons.